RNAcentral lists this ribosomal RNA (444 nucleotides) under Synalpheus regalis. RNAcentral's name for it is "partial 16S ribosomal RNA". It matches the Rfam family "Bacterial large subunit ribosomal RNA", at positions 1912 to 2570 of the family's 2925-position model. Lineage: Eukaryota; Metazoa; Arthropoda; Malacostraca; Decapoda; Alpheidae. The record is from RNAcentral.
CUGAGGUUAUAAAGGGCUGCGGUAAUUUGACCGUGCAAAGGUAGCAUAAUCAAUAGUCUUUUAAUUGGGGGCUUGAAUGAAAGGUUUGACGGAAGAGAAGCUGUCUCUUACUAUUAAUGUUGAAUUUGACGUUUGUGUGAAAAGGCGCUAAUAAUUUAGAGGGACGAUAAGACCCUAUAAAACUUUACAUUUAGAAUAUUUUUUAACAAAAUUGAUUAGUAAGUGUUAGUUUAUAAAUUUUGUUUUGCUGGGGCGGUGGAAAUAUAAGUUUAACUGUUUUAUGUUUAAAAUAUUAUUAAGUAGAGAAUGAUCCUUUAUUAAGGAAAUAAGAGUAAGUUACUUUAGGGAUAACAGCAUAAUUUUUUCUGAGAGUUCCUAUCGAAGAUAGUAGUUGUGACCUCGAUGUUGAAUUAAAUUUUCCUUUAGAUGUAGGAGUUUAAAGGG